Salmo trutta (river trout) is the source of this 3826-nucleotide long non-coding RNA. The record is from Ensembl. NCBI's taxonomy places the organism in Eukaryota, Metazoa, Chordata, Actinopteri, Salmoniformes, Salmonidae.
UGUAACACCCUGGCCUAACCAAAAUAAAGACCAAAAACCCCUCUCUAUGGCCAGGGUGUUACAUACAUAGGGAUUUUAAUCUACAAUUUACUUUGCAGUCUGGUCCAUAGACCUCUCAGAGAGAAAGGCCUCCCUCCUCCUAGAAGUGCUGAAACUCCAACCAGAGAAGAAACCAGUAGAGCUGAAGGGCUGGUCAGAUGAAGAGAGUGAAGUGAGGAGUUUCCUUCAGUGUCUGUCCUUCAUCUCACAGCUGAGUUUCUGUCUAUGGUGGCCUGAUCCCUCAAAGCAGAUCACGUUCCUGGUGAAUCUCCUGUCUCAAGCAGCAGAGUGGGAGGAGCAGACAGGAGAGAAGACACUGAAGCUGGUAUCAUCAGUGUGUACUUACAGCGCUUUCCCCUUCUGUGACUGGGUUUAUGAUGAUGAUGGUGAUGUGAUUAAGGAAAAUCAGUGUCAUUUCCUGUUGGAUCUUUACUCACAUGUGAAGGACUAUGAGACUCAAACAGGCAGGAGUGUCCUUCCAGCAUUACAGCCAGUUUACCAGUCAGUUCCUGCAGUCUGGUCCAUAGACCUCUCAGAGAGAAAGGCCUCCCUCCUCCUAGACGUGCUGAAACUCCAACCAGAGAAGAAACCAGUAGAGCUGAAGGGCUGGUCAGAUGAAGAGAGUGAAGUGAGGGGUUUCCUUCAGUGUCUGCCCUACAUCUCACAGCUGAGUUUCUAUCCAUGGAGGUCUGAUCCCUCAAAGCAGAUCAAGUUCCUGGUGGAUCUCCUGUCUCAAGCAGCAGAGUGGGAGGGGCAGACAGGAGAGAAGACACUGAAGCUGGUAUCAUCAGUGUGGACUUACAGCACCUUUCCUUAUCGCUAUGGAAACAAUUCUAAACAGAGUGAUUUCCUACUGGAUCUGUACUCACAUGUGAAGGACUAUGAGACUCAAACAGGCAGGAGUGUCCUUCCAGCGUUACAGCCAGUUUACCAGUCAGCUCAUACAGUCUGGUCCAUAGACCUGUCAGAGAGAAAGGCCUCCCUCCUCCUAGAAGUGCUGAAACUCCAACCAGAGAAGAAACCAGUAGAGCUGAGGGGCUGGUCAGAUGAAGAGAGUGACGUGAGGAGUUUCCUUCAGUGUCUGCCCUACAUCUCACAGCUGAGUUUCCCUCCAUGGUGGUCUGAUCCCUCAAAGCAGAUCAAGUUCCUGGUGGAUCUCCUGUCUCAAGCAGCAGAGUGGGAGGAGCAGACAGGAGAGAAGACACUGAAGCUGGUAUCAUCAGUGUGUACUUACAGCACCUUUCCUUUUCCCAAUGGAUACAUUUCUAAACAGAGUGAUUUCCUGCUAGAUCUGUACUCACAUGUGAAGGACUAUGAGACUCAAACAGGCAGGAGUUUCCUUCCAGCAUUACAGCCAGUUUAUCAGUCAGCUCCUGCAGUCUGGUCCAUAGGGCUCUCAGAGAGAAAGACCUCCCACCUCCUAGAAGUGCUGAAGCUCCAACCAGAGAAGAAACCAGUAGAGCUGAAGGGCUGGUCAGAUGAAGAGCGUGAAGUGAGGAGUUUCCUUCAGUGUCUGUCCUACAUCUCACAGCUGAGAUUUCCUCCACUGAAGGAUAAUGUAGAGAGGAUAAAGAGAGAGAAGACAUUCCUACUGAAUCUGUGUCUUCAAGCAGCUCUUCAUGAGAGAGGAACCAUACAAACAACUGUAGAGAAAGUGUUGUCACUGUCUGAAGUAUAUCACAAUCAGAAAUGGGAUUUCCUGCUGUAUCUGUACUCACAUGUGAAGGACUAUGAGACUCAAACAGGCAGGAGUGUCCUUCCAGCAUUACAGCCAGUUUACCAGUCAGCCAGUCCUGCAGUCUGGUCCAUAGACCUCUCAAAGAGAAAGGCCUCCCUCGUCCUAGAAGUGCUGAAACUCCAACCAGAGAAGAAACCAGUACAGCUGAUGGGCUGGUCAGAUGAAGAGAGUGAAGUGAGGAGUUUCCUUCAGUGUCUGCCCUAUAUCUCACAGCUGAGUGUUACUCCACCACAGGAACAGAGAAGAUCCCCUGAAGAGAGGAGAAAGAGAGAGAAGACAUUCCUACUGAAUCUGUGUCUUCAAGCAGCUCUCCAUGAGAGAGGAACCAUACAAACAACUGUAGAGAAGGUGUUGUCAUUGUCUGAAGUAUAUCACUAUCAGAAAUGUGAUUUCCUGCUGGAUCUGUACUCAUUUGUGAAGGACUAUGAGAUUCAAACAGGCAGGAGUGUCCUUCCAGCAUUACAGCCAGUUUACCAGUCAGCUCCUGCAGUCUGGUCCAUAGACCUCUCAGAGAGAAAGGCCUCCCUCCUCCUAGAAGUGCUGAAACUCCAACCAGAGAAGAAACCAGUAGAGCUGAAGGGCUGGUCAGAUGAAGAGAGUGAAGUGAGGAGUUUCCUUCAGUGUCUGUCCUACAUCUCACAGCUGAGUUUUACUCCUCCAUGGGAUCAGAGAAGAUGCCCUGAAGAGAGGACACAGAGAGAGAAGACAUUCCUACUGAAUCUGUGUCUUCAAGCAGCUCUCCAUGAGAGAGGAACCAUACAAACAACUGUAGAGAAAGUGUUGUCACUGUCUGAAGUAUAUCACAAUCAGAAAUGUGAUUUCCUGCUGGAUCUGUGCUCACAUGUGAAUGACUACGAGACUCAAACAGGCAGGAGUGUUCUUCCAGCAUUACAGCCAGUUUACCAGUCAGCCAGUCCUGCAGUCUGGUCCAUAGACCUCUCAGAGAGAAAGGCCUCCCUCUUCCGAGAAGUGCUGAAACUCCAACCAGAGAAGAAACCAGUAGAGCUGAAGGGCUGGUCAGAUGAAGAGAGUGAAGUGAGGAGUUUCCUUCAGUGUCUGCCCUACAUCUCACAGCUGAGUUUCUAUCCAGAUUGGUAUGAUCCCUCAAAGCAGAUCAAGUUCCUGGUGGAUCUCCUAUCUCAAGCAGCAGAGUGGGAGGAGCAGACAGGAGAUAAGACACUGAAGCUGGUAUCAUCAGUGUGUACUUACAGCACUUUCCCCUUCUGUGAUGAUGACGAUGAUGAUGAUGAUGAUGAUGAUGAGGAAUAUCAAAGUGAUUUCCUGCUGGAUCUCUACCCACAUGUGAAGGACUAUGAGUGUCAAACAGGCAGGAGUGUCCUUCCAGCAUUGCAGCCAGUUUACCAGUCAGCCAGUCCUGCCGUCUGGUCCAUAGACCUGUCAGAGAGAAAGGCCUCCCUCCUCCUAGAAGUGCUAAAACUCCAACCAGAGAAGAAACCAGUAAAGCUGAAGGGCUGGUAUGAUGAAGAGAGUGAAGUGAGGAGUUUCCUUCAGUGUCUGCCCUACAUCUCACAGCUGAGUUUUACUCCACCACGGGAUCAGAGAAGAUCCCCUGAAGAGAGGAGAAAGAGAGAGAAGACAUUCCUACUGAAUCUGUGUCUUCAAGCAGCUCUCCAUGAGAGAGGAACCAUACAAACAAUUGUAGAGAAAGUGUUGUCACUGUCUAAAGUAUAUCACGAUCAGAAAUUUGAUUUCCUGCUGGAUCUGUACUCACAUGUGAAGGACUAUGAGACUCAAACAGGCAGGAGUGUCCUUCCAGCAUUACAGCCAGUUUACCAGUCAGCCAGUCCUGCAGUCUGGUCCAUAGACCUCUCAGAGAGAAAGGCCUCCCUCCUCCUAGAAGUGCUGAAACUCCAACCAGAGAAGAAACCAGUAGAGCUGGAGGGCUGGUCAGAUGAAGAGAGUGAAGUGAGGAGUUUCCUUCAGUGUCUGUCCUACAUCUCACAGCUGAGGUGAGUCUGAACAUGUGUGAUGGUUAGUGAUUAUGUGAUGCUACUGAUUAUUGUCUUUUAGAAACAUUGUAAUAUGAAA